RNAcentral lists this signal recognition particle RNA (97 nucleotides) under Rickettsiales bacterium TMED254. RNAcentral's name for it is "signal recognition particle sRNA small type". It matches the Rfam family "Bacterial small signal recognition particle RNA". From Rfam's summary of the family: The signal recognition particle (SRP) is a universally conserved ribonucleoprotein involved in the co-translational targeting of proteins to membranes. Archaeal SRP consists of a 7S RNA and homologues of the eukaryotic SRP19 and SRP54 proteins. The record is from RNAcentral. Lineage: Bacteria; Pseudomonadati; Pseudomonadota; Alphaproteobacteria; Rickettsiales. RNAcentral also lists the same sequence under 1 other name.
UGGGAGUUGAUUCUAGGCAGUAACUUCGCCAAUCCGGUCAGAACUGAAAGGUAGCAGCCGUAACGAAUAAUUACUGGGUUGGUCUCAACUCCUUAUU